This is a long non-coding RNA of Salvia splendens (bonfire salvia), 573 nucleotides long. RefSeq lists it as uncharacterized. Lineage: Eukaryota; Viridiplantae; Streptophyta; Magnoliopsida; Lamiales; Lamiaceae. The transcript is spliced from 2 exons. The record is from RefSeq and is a predicted model, not a curated record.
UCCCCAAACAAUUACAAACCCUUCUCCCACAUACCACAGUCCCACUCCCAGAGCUCCCUCCCACACGCCACACCGCUCCUCCCACACGCCACACCCGCCGGCGACUCCUUCCGCAGCGACUCCUUCCGCCGGUGGAGAGCUCAAUCUGGUGGAGAGCUCAAUUUCGCUCUUUUAAUCCCGUUGCAGAAUUCGAAAGGGUCUAUCUCAAUCAGCUUCCACCGAUUCUUUAUUUGUUGUCUGUUUGAAGAUGGAAACUUCAGAAUCUCUCACCCAAGACGUAGGUAGCAACCGGCCAGACCUCGAUAUUCUUGAAGCUAUUGAAAUUGAAGAACUAGGGCUAGGAGAAGAAGGAUUGGUUGAGGUCUAGUUCAAGUGAUCCAGAUCAAAGUUAAAUUAAUCGUGCAUUUGUUUUGGAAUUUUGAAAAUUGAACUUGGAGGUUUUCUUUUGAAUAUUUUAACUUUGAAUGUUUGUUGGAUUGAGUAGGUUGUAAACUUUGUUGGAUUGACCAUGUUGUUUUGGAAACUUUGAACGGUGUUUACUUUUUUUGAAUAUUUGAACUUUUGGUACUAUAA